Molecule: transfer RNA, 73 nt
Filed under: Bacteroidales bacterium
Lineage: Bacteria; Pseudomonadati; Bacteroidota; Bacteroidia; Bacteroidales
Description: tRNA-Thr
Rfam family: tRNA
About the family: Transfer RNA (tRNA) molecules are approximately 80 nucleotides in length. Their secondary structure includes four short double-helical elements and three loops (D, anti-codon, and T loops).
Source: RNAcentral
GCCCGAAUAGCUCAGGUAGUAGAGCGUAAACUUGGUAAGUUUAAGGUCGGCAGUGCAAAUCUGCCUUCGGGCU